CCUUGACGGUACCUUAUUAGAAAGCCACGGCUAACUACGUGCCAGCAGCCGCGGUAAUACGUAGGUGGCAAGCGUUGUCCGGAAUUAUUGGGCGUAAAGGGCUCGCAGGCGGUUUUUUAAGUCUGAUGUGAAAGCCCCCGGCUCAACCGGGGAGGGUCAUUGGAAACUGGGGGACUUGAGUGCAGAAGAGGAGAGUGGAAUUCCAAGUGUAGCGGUGAAAUGCGUAGAGAUGUGGAGGAACACCAGUGGCGAAGGCGACUUUCUGGUCUGUAACUGACGCUGAGGAGCGAAAGCGUGGGGAGCGAACAGGAUUAGAUACCCUGGUAGUCCACGCCGUAAACGAUGAGUGCUAAGUGUUAGGGGGUUUCCGCCCCUUAGUGCUGCAGCUAACGCAUUAAGCACUCCGCCUGGGGAGUACGGUCGCAAGACUGAAACUCAAAGGAAUUGACGGGGGCCCGCACAAGCGGUGGAGCAUGUGGUUUAAUUCGAAGCAACGCGAAGAACCUUACCAGGUCUUGACAUCCUCUGAAACUCCGAAAAAUAAGACGUCCCCUUCCGGGGGAAAGUGACAGGGGGGG
RNAcentral lists this ribosomal RNA (578 nucleotides) under Bacillus sp. BAB-638. RNAcentral describes it as "bacterial SSU rRNA". It matches the Rfam family "Bacterial small subunit ribosomal RNA", at positions 467 to 1043 of the family's 1533-position model. The record is from RNAcentral. Lineage: Bacteria; Bacillati; Bacillota; Bacilli; Caryophanales; Bacillaceae.